UGCCCAGCAACUCCUAUCCCUACCUCCUCGCGGUACUGGCCGGGGUACGAGUAACCUUAGGGAAGAUCGGGUAACCAACCCCCGGUGGGAACUUUGGUCGUAUGCUGACAGGGAAGG
Non-coding RNA from Aedes aegypti (yellow fever mosquito), 117 nucleotides. The record is from Rfam. Lineage: Eukaryota; Metazoa; Arthropoda; Insecta; Diptera; Culicidae.